This 207-nucleotide ribosomal RNA is filed under the name uncultured bacterium. RNAcentral describes it as "partial 16S ribosomal RNA". It matches the Rfam family "Bacterial small subunit ribosomal RNA", at positions 568 to 774 of the family's 1533-position model. The record is from RNAcentral.
UGCGUAGGCGGUUAUAUUAGUCGGGUGUUAAAACUUGGGGCUCAACCUCAAGAUCGCAUUCGAAACGGUAUAACUAGAAGAAGUGAGGGGUGUGUGGAACUCAUGGUGUAGGGGUGAAAUCCGUUGAUAUCAUGGGGAACACCAAAAGCGAAGGCAACACACUGGCACUUUCUUGACGCUGAGGCACGAAAGCGUGGGUAGCGAACG